This 125-nucleotide ribosomal RNA is filed under the name Nannospalax galili (Upper Galilee mountains blind mole rat). The record is from RNAcentral. Lineage: Eukaryota; Metazoa; Chordata; Mammalia; Rodentia; Spalacidae.
GACUACCGCUAUACAACCCUGAACACACCUAGUCUCAUCUGAUCUUGGGUGCUAAAUGUGGUUGGGCCCACUAAGUACUUAGAUGGCAGAUAUGCUGACUUGUCAUGGCUUAGGGCCAGAAGUCU